GUUUAAAAAAAAAAUAAUCAAAUUUUUAUUUUUUAGGGUUUUCAGCUUGCCUGUCUGAUCUAAUAGUUUUGAAGAAUGAAACAAAUUUCUUCCCAUUAGGAAGACAAAGAAUAAAAUCAGUUAUCUUUCUGAUUUCUAAUUUAAAGGUAUUAUUACUGAAAUCCAGGGAUGUUUUACCAGUGAAGUGGAAAAAGGCUUGAUUGACAGAACAUAGCUUGAAAAUUCAUCACUCCAUACACAACCUGAAAAUUCAAUGUAUUUUGAGGACAGAUUAGGAAUUAUGGUUCACUUCUUCAUUUAUUGGCAAUAUAGACAUUUUCCUUUUUUCACAAAAUAUGGAGUAUGUUUUAAAAAACUUCUCAAGUUUGUGUUGCAAAGCUUCUGAAGAAAGGCCCAGAGCUCAACAGUAA
This 410-nucleotide long non-coding RNA is filed under the name Parus major (Great Tit). RNAcentral's name for it is "lncRNA (ENSPMJG00000002598.1)". The record is from RNAcentral. Lineage: Eukaryota; Metazoa; Chordata; Aves; Passeriformes; Paridae.